Tripterygium wilfordii is the source of this 107-nucleotide small nucleolar RNA. The record is from RefSeq and is a predicted model, not a curated record. Lineage: Eukaryota; Viridiplantae; Streptophyta; Magnoliopsida; Celastrales; Celastraceae.
AUGGAAUGAUGGGGACACUUUUUCAAUGACUCCUUGAAUCGUUCCUAAGCUUCAAAGAAGGGCUCUGUAUCAAAUUGUGUAAAGGACAUUAUCUCGUGUAUGAGUUU